GAUGAACGCUAGCGACAGGCUUAACACAUGCAAGUCGCGGGGCAGCACGGUGGUUGCUUGCAAUGCCCGAUUGCGACCGGCGCACGGGUGAGUAACGUGUAUCCAACCUGCCUUUCACCACGGGAUAAGACGGCGAAGGUCAGACUAAUACGGUAUGCUGUCUAUUGAGGGCGUCCGAGAUGGUCUAGGGGGUUGGGGAUGGAGUCGCGGCUUAUCAGCUUGUUGGUGGGGGAGUGGCUUACCAAGGCUGUGGCGGGUAGCCGGCCUGAGAGGGUGACCGGCCACAUUGGGACUGAGAUACGGCCCAGACUCCUACGGGAGGCAGCAGUGGGGAAUAUUGCACAAUGGGCGGAAGCCUGAUGCAGCAACGCCGCGUGCGGGAUGACGGCCUUCGGGUUGUAAACCGCUUUCGCCUGUGACGAAGCGUGAGUGACGGUAAUGGGUAAAGAAGCACCGGCUAACUACGUG
Molecule: ribosomal RNA, 468 nt
Filed under: uncultured bacterium
Lineage: Bacteria
Description: partial 16S ribosomal RNA
Rfam family: Bacterial small subunit ribosomal RNA
Source: RNAcentral